RNAcentral lists this transfer RNA (77 nucleotides) under Patescibacteria group bacterium. RNAcentral's name for it is "tRNA-Pro". It matches the Rfam family "tRNA". Rfam says of the family: Transfer RNA (tRNA) molecules are approximately 80 nucleotides in length. Their secondary structure includes four short double-helical elements and three loops (D, anti-codon, and T loops). Further hydrogen bonds mediate the characteristic L-shaped molecular structure. tRNAs have two regions of fundamental functional importance: the anti-codon, which is responsible for specific mRNA codon recognition, and the 3' end, to which the tRNAs corresponding amino acid is attached (by aminoacyl-tRNA synthetases). tRNAs cope with the degeneracy of the genetic code in two manners: having more than one tRNA (with a specific anti-codon) for a particular amino acid; and 'wobble' base-pairing, i.e. permitting non-standard base-pairing at the 3rd anti-codon position. The record is from RNAcentral.
CGGGGUAUGGCCUAAUUGGCUAGGGCGCCUGCUUUGGGAGCAGGAGAUUCUGGGUUCAAGUCCCAGUACCCCGACCA